CCGUUGUGUAGCGGCCUAGCACGCCGCCCUCUCACGGCGGUAGCGCCGGUUCGAAUCCGGUCGGGGGUA
This 69-nucleotide transfer RNA is filed under the name Mycobacterium paraseoulense. Its description in RNAcentral is "tRNA-Glu". It matches the Rfam family "tRNA". Rfam says of the family: Transfer RNA (tRNA) molecules are approximately 80 nucleotides in length. Their secondary structure includes four short double-helical elements and three loops (D, anti-codon, and T loops). Further hydrogen bonds mediate the characteristic L-shaped molecular structure. tRNAs have two regions of fundamental functional importance: the anti-codon, which is responsible for specific mRNA codon recognition, and the 3' end, to which the tRNAs corresponding amino acid is attached (by aminoacyl-tRNA synthetases). tRNAs cope with the degeneracy of the genetic code in two manners: having more than one tRNA (with a specific anti-codon) for a particular amino acid; and 'wobble' base-pairing, i.e. permitting non-standard base-pairing at the 3rd anti-codon position. The record is from RNAcentral. Lineage: Bacteria; Bacillati; Actinomycetota; Actinomycetes; Mycobacteriales; Mycobacteriaceae.